UUCCUUUGUUUUAACUUCUGAAACCUCUCUUCUGCUGGUGGUUGACACAGUGAGAGCCUAAAAUGGAUUCAGGACUUGUGGAUUUGGUCUUCUCAUGGUCUCUUAGAGAUGUACUUAACGACCAACUCUUCAAAACUAAGGUGAAGAAGAUCCCAGAGACGUUCUUGUCAUUACAGGAUUACUUUAACUCAUAUAUUUCACCCCUCAUUGAGGAAACACAUGCUGAUCUUUGUUCAAGCAUGAUGAAUCUGUCCCAAGCAUCUAAAUGUCAAAUAGUUCAUGUUGAAGAACAUAAACAAGAUUUCAAGCCACCAAAAGAUUUGUUUUAUAACAUUGUCUUAAAAGAGGAUGAAAUCUAUGAGCCUCAAGCAGGAGAUCUCAUUGCUCUAUCAGAUGUAAGACCCAAAUGCAUUGAUGAUUUAAACAGGCCUAGAAGAUCUUAUCUUCUUGCAAUAGUCACAUCAGCAAAAUUUGAAGACGAAGAUGAAGAUAGCUUGUUCUUCAAAAUCCGUACAUCAAAACCCAUUGUGUUUGAACAAGGAGUACAACUGCAGCAGAAGAGGGAGGAACCACUUUUUGCUGUUUAUUUGAUUAACAUGAUAACGAAUAACCGUAUAUGGAAAGCACUGCACCCAGAUAUGCAAGGGGGAAACAUGAACGUUGUCAAGGAGGUCUUGCGCACUGAUUCCACUGUCGGGAUUGAUUGUGAUCUCUGCUUACUGUCAGAAGAUGACAGUAUCAGUGGAAAUUCUCUUCUCCCUAAUCUUCAAACCUUCAACCUCAAUGAAUCACAGACCGAUGCAGUGGUAAGAUCCAUUGCUACAAAGAGUUGCAAUCAUAAGAGUUCGGUGAAACUUAUUUGGGGCCCUCCGGGUACUGGGAAGACAAAGACAGUUGGCACUUUGCUCUGGGUACUUCUAAAACUGAAAUGCAGAACCCUCACAUGCACGCCGACUAAUAUUGCCUUAAUGGAAGUCACAUCACGCCUCCUGAAGUUGGUCAGGGAAUCACUUCAGCAUCACAAUUAUGGCUUGGGAGAUAUAGUGUUAUUUGGUAAUAAGGAGAGAAUGAAGAUUAAGGAUCGUCAAGACCUUCAUGAUGUUUUUUUGGAUUAUCGUGCUCCUAAGCUUGCAAAGUGCUUUGCCCCACUCUCAGGGUGGAAUCAUCAACUAAACUCCAUGAUACGCUUGCUUGAAGAUGCUCAUACUGAGUAUCGUUCUUAUUUGGAGAAGAAAAUGAAGGAAAAGCAGGGCGUUUCUCAAAAUGAGAAAAAAGAAGACAAAAAUAAAAAAGAGAAAGAGGAGGAUACUUCUAAGAAGUUGAAAGGAAAAAACAAGGAAAAAAGGAAGAAAAAAAUUGUUGAUAACUUAAACGAAGACGAAAACAAAAAUACAUGGCAAGAGAAGAUUCUUGCUCAAGACAGUAAACAAUUGAAUAGCCUGGAACCAAAGGAUCCUUCUGAAACCAAGAAAACUGAAGGGCAGGAGAAUGAAAUGAAAGAUGUUUUGAAAAUUGAGGAGUUUAUCAAGAAAAAUUUCACUGAUAUACGGAUGGACCUCAAGUCCUUCGUUCUAAUUUUGUGUAAGCACCUACCUACGUCCAUCAUCUCUGUGAGAGUAGUAGAAGACAUGAUUAAAGCUCUCCAUUUGCUUGAAUCUCUUGGAACUCUGUUACAUGGAUCCGUUACAGAUGAAGAGCUGAAGUGUGUCUUUGUCAAUUCUGAAGAUUUAAAGACAACAGUUUGCGGCUCCAAUAGACUCUUGCUUGAUAAGACCAGAAAUGAGUGCCUUGAGAUUCUCAAAUCCCUUCAUGAAGCAUUUUCUGUUCCCAAAUCUACGAAUAAACAAUUGAUCAAGAAUUUCUGUUUGGAACAUGCUUACCUGAUUUUCUGCACUGCUUCAAGCUCAGCUAAGUUGCACACAGAUGGGACGGCACCAUUGGAGAUGUUGGUUAUUGAUGAAGCAGCACAGCUUAAAGAAUGUGAAUCAGCCAUUCCCCUCCAACUCCCUGGUGUCCGGCAUGCCAUUCUCAUAGGUGACGAACGGCAAUUACCAGCACUGGUUCUAAGCAAGAUUUCGGAGAAGGCUGAAUUUGGAAGAAGUCUGUUUGAAAGGUUGGUAUCAUUGGGACACAAGAAGCAUCUUCUCAAUAUCCAGUAUAGAAUGCACCCAUCAAUAAGCUUAUUCCCAAACACAGAAUUCUAUGGAAAGCAGAUCUUAGAUGCUCCAAAUGUCAAAGAAAGAAGCCAUGAAAGACACUUCCUUCAAGGUAAUAUAUAUGGGCCCUAUUCAUUUAUAAAUGUUGCUUAUGGAACAGAGCAACAUGACGGGUAUGGAAAGAAAAACAUGGUGGAAGUGGCAGUGGUUUCUGAGAUAGUGAACAGCCUCUUCAAAGCAUCAUUUGCUUCAAGGCAGAGGCUUAGUGUUGGUGUAAUAUCCCCAUACAAGGCUCAAGUUUUUGCGAUUAAUGAGAAACUUGGAGACACAUAUGAUACACCGAAUGAGUUCUCUGUGAGUGUUCGGACUGUUGAUGGGUUUCAAGGUGGCGAGGAAGAUGUAAUAAUAAUCUCUACUGUCAGGUCUAAUGGGAAAGGAUCAGUGGGUUUUCUUGCCAAUCUUCAACGUACGAAUGUAGCUUUGACCAGGGCAAGGUACUGCCUCUGGGUAUUGGGGAAUGGUCAAACUUUAAUCAACAGUGGUUCCAUUUGGAGGAAAUUAGUCCUUAACGCAAAGGAUCGGGGGUGUUUUUUUGAUGCUGAUAAGGACAAGUGCUUAAAGGAAGCAAUAAUUGCUGGUCUGGUUGAACUUGGUGAAUUUGACAAGUUACUUAAUACAGAUUCUCUGCUGUUUGGUGGAGCGAGGUGGAAGGUUCUCUUCAGCAAUGAUUUCUGGAAAUCCUUGGCUAAAAUAAGAAGGAUUGAGACUCAGAAAGAAGUGCUUUCUCUAUUAACGAAGCUUGCAAGUGGAUGGCGUCAUACCCAGAAGCAGAAAAAUCUCUACUUAAUGGAUGGAACUUCUUCUGAGCUGCUGAAAGUAAACAAGGUUGAUAGGUUGUUCAAUCUUGUCUGGACUGUUGAUAUUCUCAGAGAAAAUUUCAAGUGCAUCCAAGUCUUGAAAGUUUGGGAUAUUUUACCAAUGCAAGAGAUACCAAAACUGGCUAUGCAAUUGGAUGACGUCUUUGGGAAUUAUACAGUAGAUGAUAUGAACCGCUGCAAGUUCAAAUGUUCUGAAGGGAAGUUGGAAGUUCCAAUGAGUUGGGAAAUCUCAAAUGCUGCAACAUUGAUGGACCUUCACAAUCCCGAACCCCUGCCGUAUUUGUCGAGUCGUUUUGCUGCACUUCAUCUGGGGAAGGAACCAAAUGCAUCAGCACAAGGAUAUAGGUGAGUUUAACCUGCAAAACCAACGAUUUGGCUGGAUCUACAAAGAUGAAACAAAGGAGGAGCAAUCCAGGGAUUGUGAAACAUGCCAAAGAAGAUGGGUUGAUAUGGGCGAAUGAGAAUGUGUCAUCCUCUUCUUCAGAGGAUGAAGGCUCUCUGAUCAGCUCAACUUUCUGCCUGAAGAAGAAUGUCUCCUUGGAAGAGUUCGACCAAGUGGAGGACUGCUACAUCUUGGACUUUGAUGUAUUUGAAUCCAUUGAUCUAUUUGAAAAGCCCUCCCUCAAGGAUGAUGAUGAUGCUGAAGAGCUCUCUGUCACAGGUCAACGAGGACAGGUGGCUUGUCUACAUUAUCCCCAUUCAAGGCAUCUCUGUGCAAAAUUUCCCUUCAACAAAACUCCUCAUGAGGAUUACUGUGAACAGUGCUAUUGUUAUGUAUGUGAUAUAAUUGCCCCUUGCAAAUUCUGGAAGAAACCAGGAGGUUGACAUUGUGAUGCGACAGAGCAUGACGAAUUGUGGAAGAACCUGAGGAGAAAGAAUAAACCAGCGCCACCACCAACCAAUGAAGCAACUGUGUCAUCUUAGUAGCUCUUUACAUGUAUAUAUCUCACAAUGACUUGUAUGUAGCAGUGCUACUGUCAUAAAUCUGAUUCAAUCGCCCCUUGCAAAUCCUGGAAGAAUCCAAAAGGACAUUGUGCUGCAACAGAGCUUGAUGAGUUGUGGAAGAACCUGAGAAAGAAUAAACCAGUGCCACCGCCGACCAGUGAAGCAACUUUGUCAUCUUAGCUCUCUACGUGUAUAUAUAUCUCGAUGACCUGUUUUGGAGUCUGGCAUGCUAGGUGAGCAGUUUUUGUAGCAGGCUACCAAAUCUAACAUGCUAAUGGAUGGUCUACCAGAUGUAGAUUGUGGAUA
Molecule: RNA transcript, 4285 nt
Organism: Telopea speciosissima
Lineage: Eukaryota; Viridiplantae; Streptophyta; Magnoliopsida; Proteales; Proteaceae
Exons: 14
Source: RefSeq, a predicted model, not a curated record